Molecule: non-coding RNA, 30 nt
Filed under: Rattus norvegicus (Norway rat)
Lineage: Eukaryota; Metazoa; Chordata; Mammalia; Rodentia; Muridae
Source: RNAcentral
UGCAAAAGUCAAAUUUCUGUGCCUGUUGUC